Aplysia californica (California sea hare) is the source of this 398-nucleotide long non-coding RNA. RefSeq lists it as uncharacterized. The transcript has 3 exons. The record is from RefSeq and is a predicted model, not a curated record. Lineage: Eukaryota; Metazoa; Mollusca; Gastropoda; Aplysiida; Aplysiidae.
CUGGGUUGUUGUGCCGUCUGUGUGUGUUAUGUUGGCGAUGUAGCGGAUAAAGCGAACGAAUAACGCGGCAGAGCAAGUAAUGAACCAUAGGACACGGCCGAGAUAAUGACACUGCGAUCAGCUUACCCAUCUUCAACACACAUGAUAGAUAGUGCAACUGUCACAGGAUAUCCGUGAAGCCUGACGCACUAUUCAAGAUUCUCGGUUUUUCUUACACAGCAAUUUGAGCCCAGGAAAGCAGAAUACCUCAGUCUGUUCGAGCUUGGUGUCUGAGAACGCCUUCGUGUUUUGGUGAGUACCAUGAGCAAUGUGAAUAUUUACAAUAGUGUAAGGGUCAGAGGCCAGGAACUUGACCAACACUCACUCACACACACACACACACACACACACACACACAC